CGUAGGGGGCAAGCGUUGUCCGGAUUUAUUGGGCGUAAAGAGCGUGUAGGCGGCUAGAUAGGUCCGUUGUGAAAACUCGAGGCUCAACCUCGAGACGCCGAUGGAAACCAUCUAGCUAGAGUCCGGAAGAGGAGAGUGGAAUUCCCGGUGUAGCGGUGAAAUGCGCAGAUAUCGGGAAGAACACCCGUGGCUAAGGCGGCUCUCUAGUACGGUACUGACGCUGAGACGCGAAAGCGUGGGGAGCGAACAGGAUUAGAUACCCUGGUAGUCCACGCCGUAAACGAUGGGUGCUAGGUGUGGGGGGGUGUCGACCCCCUCCGUGCCGAAGCUAACGCAUUAAGCACCCCGCCUGGGGAGUACGGCCGCAAGGCUA
Molecule: ribosomal RNA, 373 nt
Filed under: uncultured organism
Description: bacterial SSU rRNA
Rfam family: Bacterial small subunit ribosomal RNA
Source: RNAcentral